This 221-nucleotide ribosomal RNA is filed under the name uncultured bacterium. RNAcentral describes it as "partial 16S ribosomal RNA". It matches the Rfam family "Bacterial small subunit ribosomal RNA", at positions 96 to 334 of the family's 1533-position model. The record is from RNAcentral.
CGGCAGACGGGUGAGUAACGCGUGGGAACAUACCUCUUGGUUCGGAACAACACAGGGAAACUUGUGCUAAUACCGGAUAAGCCCUUACGGGGAAAGAUUUAUCGCCGAAAGAUUGGCCCGCGUCUGAUUAGCUAGUUGGUGAGGUAACGGCUCACCAAGGCGACGAUCAGUAGCUGGUCUGAGGGGAUGAUCAGCCACAUUGGGACUGAGACACGGCCCAA